Molecule: long non-coding RNA, 120 nt
Organism: Ipomoea nil (Japanese morning glory)
Lineage: Eukaryota; Viridiplantae; Streptophyta; Magnoliopsida; Solanales; Convolvulaceae
Exons: 3
Source: RefSeq, a predicted model, not a curated record
CCAGCUCCUUGGCCUUCUGCAUCACAUUUACAAGCCUCAUCAUGCAAUAAAACUGUAAAAAUUCCCGCACUUCCUGCUGCAGCAUCUGGGCAAAAGUGUCUUUAUGCUGUAGACAAAAAG